Solea solea (common sole) is the source of this 65-nucleotide small nucleolar RNA. RefSeq annotates it as small nucleolar RNA SNORD42. Lineage: Eukaryota; Metazoa; Chordata; Actinopteri; Pleuronectiformes; Soleidae. The transcript has a single exon. The record is from RefSeq and is a predicted model, not a curated record.
GUGCAUGUGAUGUGAAAUUUAAAAUGUCUGAAUGUCUGAUGCAUUCAAAGGAACCACUGAUGCCA